AAUAGAUGAAAAAAUGUAUUUGUGUAAAAUUUAAUAAAAAAUUCAUGAUUUAAGCAAAGGAAAGACCUAUUGCAGUGAAGCCCCCUAUUAAUCUUCCAAAUGCCUUUCUUUGGCUAUCAAAGUGUCCAAAUAUUCUUCUAAUAUUGUGCCUAUGAUAUUGCAAUUGGAACUGAGUGUCCCCUGGUAUGUCACCCCCAUACAUAGUGUUCAGGGGGUAAUAAUCUCAUUAUCCCUUUAGCUACCUGGGGAGAGGUGGGGUGUCAGGAGCAGAGAAGUUUCUGGUAAGAACAGUUCAUCUCUGAUGAUGUUGGCAUCAGCCAGUAGAGGUUCUAAAACUUGUUUGGCCCCAGUUGGCUUCUCAGACUCUGAAAGAAAAAAGAAGCAGCACAAAAACCAUCAUAUACCCAGGAGAUCACAUCAUACCUUAGACCUGGUAUGUGUGUGAACCCAGCAGAGAAGCUUUGGUGGCUAGUGUCUGGAUCCUUGGAAGGAUGAAUAGCAUCCCCAGAGAGGAGAAAGCCCAUUGACAGAGUGUAAUCUGGAAUUUGAACUAGACAGCCAGAUAAACCAGUCUCCCAGGGUCAUACCAGAAAGGAUGCAAGAGGUAAAAGAUCAAAGAAACAUGCUUCCUCUCUGCUCCUGUCAGCCAAAAUCCACAAAACAGCUAGUGUGGGAUGUCCCAAUCUGGCCCCUCAUCAGUGAAGUUUGCAGGCCAGCCUCUCUGGAACAGGAAGGGAGGGAAUUCUGUUUCCUUCUAGCAAUGCCCAGAUGGGCCAUGAAAUGAAGUCUCACACAGCUCUGUAGGAACUAGAAUCCUGGAAAUGCUGAUAUGUAGAUUCCGACACCCUAUGCCUUCCUUGCUAAAGUGUCAAGGCCUCUGCUAGGCCCAGGUAGGAAAUCUCCUCUCUGUGUCUAGCUUCACUUAGAAGCUUGCAGGAAGAAUGAAAUCAGUCAUGGAGCUCUGAGCAUUGAGCUGUCCCCACUUCACGUGUGCACACUCAUUCAUUCGUCAUCAUCACACCCUUCCAACUACUGUGGCUUCCGACUUCUGCUUAUUGAUUACUUUAUAGAGACACAUCUCAGCUAUUUCUUCCCCAAAAUGGAUUGGUGUCACUAUCCUACGUUAAUUUUACAGGUCAAGAAAAUAAGGGCAAGAAAGAAAAGGAAACUGGAAGCAUGGGAUGGGUAACUGUCUACAGACUCAUGUACCAAAGUGCAGAAGUAGGUCUUUGAGGCCCAUUGACCUUCCACUCUACACUGGUGAAAACUAUCAGGCACUGACCCUAGGACAGUCACAGGGAGUCUGAAGAGCAAAAGCUCAAAUGGAAAAACAGUCCUUAUAUCACCGGCUGGGGAGAGGAUACACAUGGCCCCAGAGAAAUAACUGAGCUGAGAGAAACCCCGAUUUUCUUUGUAGCACUGAUAAGCACCUGGGGAUGAUACAUCUAACAUGCCAGCCUGCCAGCCACUUGGCUUCCACUGCCCCAUCAACCUUCCCCUCCCAACCAUCACAGUGAAUCAUUUCCAGAGAUGUAUCCUGGACCUUGUCAUCACCUGGAAAGGUUUUACCUCUGAAUACUGGGUUGUGAACUCCGUAAGGGCAGGGACCAUGCCUUAAUUCUUAUCUUUGUUCUCAGAGUUUCCCACAAUAAGUGCAUAGAGCUAAUGCUCAGGGACUGUUUGCUGGAUGAAUGACUCACACUGAGAAAUCUCACUCUCCAAUCGGAACCUCUAUCUUACCUCUCUGAUGUGGUUUGGCUGUGUCCCCACUGAAAUCUCAUCUUGUAAUAUAGUUCCUAUAAUCCCCAACUGUUGUAGGAGGGACCCAGCUGGGGGGUAAUUGAAUCAUGGGGCAGUUACCCCCAUGCUUCUGUUCUCCUAAUAGUGGGUGAGUUCUCAUGAGAUCUGAUGGUUUUAUAAGGGGCAUUUCCCCCUUUUGCUCAGUACUUCUUGAUGCUGCCACGUGAAGAAGGACAUGUUUGCUUCCCCUUCCACCAUGAUCCUAAGGCCUCCCCAGCCAUACAGAACUUCCCCAAACUACAAACACAAAGGAAGCUCCCAUGGAAUCGGAUGAUGGCACUGUACGAAUCAAGAUGCAGCUAGCAAUAAAAACAGAAGACACCAACACCAGCAGUCCAGAGACCUCCAGUAUAACAUAAAGUGUUCAUAGUAUCCUGAGGAUUCCAGUCACACAGGCUCAAACCUGAGGAUCACCCCGGAUCCUUCCUCUCCGUUGUCCGGAAAAAUCCUACCUCCUAUCCUUUCUAACCCUCCAUCCCACUGUCACUCCUCUAAUUCAGAAAUUUCUCUCCUUUCUUCCCCCAUGCACCCCAAUCUCAUAUAGUGGUGUGAUAUGAUUUGGCUCUGUGUCCCCAACCAAAGCUCAUCUUGUAGUUCCCAUAAUCCCCAUGUGUUAUGGGAGGGACCUGGUGGGAGAUGAUUGAAUCAUGAGGGUGGGUCUUUCCCAUGCUGUUCUCGUGAUAGUGAAUGGGUCUCACGAGAUCUGAUGGUUUUAAAAAUGGGAGUUUCUCUGCACAAGCCCUCUCUUUGCCUGCUGCCAUCCACGUAAGAUGUGACUUGCUCCUCCUUGCCUUCUGCCAUGAUUGUGAGGCCUCCCCAGCCACGUGGAACUGUAAGUCCAAUGAAACUCUUUCUUUCGUAAAUUGCCCAGUCUCUAGUAUGUCUUUAUCAACAGUGUGAAAACGGACUAAUACAUGGUGCCAGGCUGAGCAUUUGGAAACAGUGUUCUAACAAUGCCACUCAUCUGUUCCAAAAUUGCCAAAGGAUCCACACUGCCUAGAGUGAAAUUCAAAUGUGAGCCUGUAAAUCAAAGCGCUUCAUGAGUUCUUCCCAACCUACCUUUCCAUCACAGCCCAACAUCAGGCAAACAGAACCACUGUCUUCUCCGUUCAUUUCCCACUUGGUUCUACUUCUGGGUUUUGCUCUGUUUGGCAUGUGUUUUCCUGCAUCACUGCAUUUCCGAGUCUUACCCAUCCUUCAAAGUUCAUGUCACAUCACCUCCUGCAAGAACAUUCUCUGAUCCUCUCCUGCGUGCAUAAUCACUCCCUCUUUUGGACUCCUGCAACCCUGUGUGCCACUCUUUCGCACUGAGUAAAAGUAUGUGCAUUUCAUAUGUUUCCAUUGGGUGAUAAGGUCUUUGAAAAUAAGGCCCUUACAGAUUCACCCUUCAUGGAGAAGAUGUAGGGAGACCCAAGAACUUGGAGUUUGGCUGGUUUGUAGGAAAUGUAACAAAGUUUGGGGGAAUAAUUUUGGAAAGGUAGGUUGGAAUCAUAUUGUGACUCCAGGGUAAUAGUUAAAAGUGCUUGGGAGUCAUCUGCAGACGUAUGAAGCUAGAUGAGGCAAUCCUGAGAAAAAAUAUCAAAUGUGAAGGGAAAGUGCCCAUCCCUGGAACCACAGGGAACAUUAGCCUGCAAGUAUCCACUGGAAAAUAAAAAAUCAUGGAGACUGGCAGGAAAUGGCUGUAUAGAAUGGAAGUCAGUCACAACAUCCAUACCACACUGGGCAUAAAAAGAAUUUCAGCCCUGUUGGUCAGCCACGAUACAUGCGCUUGAAUAAUUCUGACCGAAUCCUGUAUGGCUUUUUUUUUCUCUAGAAUUGCAAAUAGGGAAGACCAUGCUGACAGACUUGUGGAUCCUUAAUUCAGGACAUUUUAAAAAGGCAAUCACUUGCCCACAUUCUAUUCCUAAUCAGUGGGGCUUCCCAAACCCAGUACACCGGAGACAUCUACAAAUAUGUAGAACUCGCAGAAGUAACGCCUGACCAAGGAACACACGAAUGGGAACAAGGAGUAUUCCUGGUCAUCUGAUUUGUUUCUGUGUUGGCUUCCCAGUCCCAAAAGUGACUCCUAAGGUCAUUACAAUUAUUAAAACCAGAGAACAAGCACAGGGACCCAGAGGAAGUCAGCAGGAGGGGGAACUAGUCCUACAACCACAUAGGACCUGCCCCGUGUCAAUUCAAUUGAAUUCAGCACAGACAAACUGCUGAGCUCCCCGGAGGUGAAAGCCCUGACCUGGGCAGAUGUUUACCUGAUCAAAACAGGGAGGUCCUCCCAAGCCAGCCCUGCUAAAGAUCCCACCUGAGACCACAAUUUUCUUACACCUUAUUCUAACACAAUGGAGGUCAACUUAUUCAUUUCAAGGGUUCUAGAAAUGUUUGAUUCAAAUUACAUUUAAAAAUAUUUUUAAAAUGGUAAACACAGACAAGUGUGUGAUACCAAAUGUGAACAAUCAUAGACCCCAGUGGUUUACAUGAGCCACAGGUUAUAAUAUACUCAUGCCCGCUUCAGAAUAAAGGUUCUCCUGCCAAAACCAUGAAUAUGUUUGAACACAUGUAGAUGUGUCAUUAAUUGGGAAAGCUGUAGUUCCAAAAAGAUCUUUCAACUGUUCGGAUCCAUGCAAGUAUUCUUAUGCUGUAAAACUGUAUGAGCAAGUACACUACCAUCACCCUGGCCCCCUAGCGCCAUGCUCAAUUAAAGGCCAGGAAGGGCUCAGGGACUUCCCUGGAAUGUAUGCUCUUAUAAAGACGUAAUACUAAACUAUACGGUAAUAUGUGACCACAUAACAUGCUGUACCAUGGUAAGUAUUACCAGUAGCAUUAUUAUUAGUAUUAUUAGCAUUACUAGUAGCAUGCUUAUUUUGAUGUUAGACUGAUCAAGACCAACAGUAAUGCAGGGCCAUUCUAUUACUGCUUCUCUUGUGGCCGAUAGCGUCCAUGAUGAAACUGACAACUGAAGUUUGAGCUCAAAAUGCCAGAUUAAACAUGUUUUGCUGUGUUAAAGGCUUUAAGUGAUUACUACAGAGAAACAAACACUGGAGUUUCUGAAAAAAAAAUUAACAACAUAAUUAACCUCUCAUGAUGAUACAACAUAAUUUUGGGAAGAAUUUUCUGCCAAAGAUAUAAAUUGGUGAAUCUAAGUGAAAGAAUCUGUUCCUUUCCAUUAGACCUCUUAUAAUUAAACAAUUGUUACAUAGUGUUAGUGAGUCAACAUUAAAACCAAUUCUUCCUAUAUUUAUCUUUCAUGUUUCUAGAUCAUUGAAAUCAGAAUAGCCUGAAUCUGUAAGGUAUCUUGUUUAAAAGUGCUAUAAUUUCCAAUAUCUAGCUGUUGCAUGUUGUACAGUCAAUAUAAAAUACAGGGGUACACUUGAUAGUGAGAAUGUCAUGAGGCUACAGUGUUCAUCCCAAACCCUCAAUUUCAAAUUUUCAUAACAUUCUCAUUGUUUUCAUUAACUGUAUGUUAAAAACUAAAUUUAUCAAGCUAAUAUAUAUAACAAAAUGUUGGUUUGCUCUGUUAUAGUCAUUAAUAUUCCACAUAAGAUUUCAUUGAAGAGUUUUAAUGCUGAAAAGUUUCCAAAAAUCACUGUAACAUUUAAUAUAUAGGAAAAACCCAAAAUAUGAAGCAGGAAAAGAUGUAAGAAACAGAUCUUUUUGGUUAGAAAGGCAGAAGUAGAAAAGGGUGAGAGUAAUUCAACCACAACUCCAGAUACAAGCUUGAGAAUAAAAAAAAUGCUUUUUGAAUUAAUCAAUGAAGCAGAAAUAGUGUGUCCCUUGCUCCUGGAAUUGGGAGAGGGGAAACUUUGGGACUGGAGAAACAGAGAAGGCCAUAGAGGAAGUUUUGCUUUCCCGAUGAGAACCAUCUUCCCAUAGGCAAAUAAGAAGGCUUCUCUGUGGGAAGCAGGGCAGACCAAAGAGAUGAUGGUCUUUGGGUAGCCAAGUGUAGCCACUGAUCAUUAGGGCCAGCGUAACUGAGGUGUCAGCACAACAGAAAGGAGGCCUUAAGCAGUGAGAUUUCUGGACUUGUGGUAGAGAAAAAGUGGUGACCAGACAUGUGAUUCCGGGGAAGGAGGCUAAAGGGAAAGUGCAGCCUGGAGGGCAGAAGCAAAGCACAGGACACAGAAAUCAUUCAUUCACUCAUUAAUUAAUGAAGCUCCUAUUAAUACAGGCAUUUGAUUGGGCACUGCAGUUACAAAGAUAAAUAAGCCUCAGUCAGUGUCUCCUAGGGGGAGGAGAGGUUGUUACCAAGGGGAAGCCCAAGGAGCUAUAAGGAUGGCAGAGGAAGGGGUCAUAGCUUCCUGGAAGAGGUACCCCCAGAGGUCAGUCUCAAAGAAGUAGGAGUUAAUCAAGCAGAUAAUAGCUGAGAAUGGGGGAGGAUGAGCACCUCUCAACUCAAAGAGCAUUCCUGGAGAAAGACACGAUUUGAGAGAGAGAAUUGUAUAGCUGGGGAAGAGCAAGUGGAUGAAAAUGAGUGAGGCACAAAGUGAAAGGAAGGGAAAGUGAGAGAGGAAACUGUUGAGGGGGCUGGGGCCAGGUCAUGGGAGGCCUGGUGUGUUCUGCAAGGGAGCUCAGACUCUCUCCUAGCAACAGUAGGGAGCCACUGAGGAUGCUAAGCUGGGAAGCUGCACUCACACUUCCCUAUUCAAUUUCUCCACUCUAUUUGCUUGUGUGGCCUCCCAUAAACAUCGCCAAGAGCAGGAACUAUUUUUUUCAUCUUUUCACCUUUAUAUCCUUGGAGCUUAGCAUAGUCCCCAGAAUGCAACAGGAACUUAGCACUUAUUGUUAUAUGAACUAAUGAAUGAAUGAGCAAAGUGCCAAGUAGGGAAAGAAGAGGCUGG
This 6629-nucleotide long non-coding RNA is filed under the name Homo sapiens (human). RNAcentral's name for it is "HSALNT0034378". Lineage: Eukaryota; Metazoa; Chordata; Mammalia; Primates; Hominidae. The record is from RNAcentral.